This 482-nucleotide ribosomal RNA is filed under the name uncultured bacterium. RNAcentral describes it as "bacterial SSU rRNA". It matches the Rfam family "Bacterial small subunit ribosomal RNA", at positions 30 to 506 of the family's 1533-position model. The record is from RNAcentral.
UUGAACGCUGGCGGCAGGCUUAACACAUGCAAGUCGAGCGGCAGCGCGGGGGCAACCUUGGCGGCGAGCGGCGAACGGGUGAGUAACGCGUAGGAAUCUACCUGAUAGAGGGGGAUAGCCCGGGGAAACUCGGAUUAAUACCGCAUACGCCCUACGGGGGAAAGCAGGGGAUCUUCGGACCUUGCGCUAUCAGAUGAGCCUGCGUCGGAUUAGCUAGUUGGUGAGGUAAAGGCUCACCAAGGCGACGAUCCGUAGCUGGUCUGAGAGGAUGAUCAGCCACACUGGAACUGAGACACGGUCCAGACUCCUACGGGAGGCAGCAGUGGGGAAUAUUGGACAAUGGGGGAAACCCUGAUCCAGCCAUGCCGCGUGUGUGAAGAAGGCCCUAGGGUUGUAAAGCACUUUAAGCAGGGAGGAAAGGAUGAUGGCUAAUAUCCAUCAUCAUUGACGCUACCUGCAGAAUAAGCACCGGCUAACUUCGU